GCCGAGGUGGCGGAAGUGGUAGACGCAAGGGACUUAAAAUCCCUCGGAGUUUUUACUCCGUGCGAGUUCGAGUCUCGCCCUCGGCACUA
Molecule: transfer RNA, 89 nt
Filed under: Fidelibacterota bacterium
Lineage: Bacteria; Pseudomonadati; Fidelibacterota
Description: tRNA-Leu
Rfam family: tRNA
About the family: Transfer RNA (tRNA) molecules are approximately 80 nucleotides in length. Their secondary structure includes four short double-helical elements and three loops (D, anti-codon, and T loops).
Source: RNAcentral